RNAcentral lists this non-coding RNA (29 nucleotides) under Mus musculus (house mouse). Lineage: Eukaryota; Metazoa; Chordata; Mammalia; Rodentia; Muridae. The record is from RNAcentral.
UGGAAUCAUGGGAUCUCUUCAGCCUUUGC